CGGAGGAUCCAAGCGUUAUCCGGAUUUAUUGGGUUUAAAGGGUGCGUAGGCGGAAUUGUAAGUCAGUGGUGAAAGCCCUUCGCUUAACGAAGGAACUGCCAUUGAUACUGCAAAUCUUGAGUACAUUUGAUGUGGGCGGUAUGUGUCAUGUAGCGGUGAAAUGCUUAGAUAUGACACAGAACACCGAUUGCGAAGGCAGCUCACAAAACUGUAACUGACGCUGAGGCACGAAAGCGUGGGUAUCAAACAGGAUUAGAUACCCUGGUAGUCCACGCUGUAAACUAUGAUUACUCGAUGUUUGCGAUACACUGUAAGCGUCUAAGCGAAAGCGAUAAGUAAUCCACCUGGGGAGUACGCUCGCAAGAGUG
This 368-nucleotide ribosomal RNA is filed under the name uncultured organism. Its description in RNAcentral is "bacterial SSU rRNA". It matches the Rfam family "Bacterial small subunit ribosomal RNA", at positions 526 to 896 of the family's 1533-position model. The record is from RNAcentral.